Molecule: transfer RNA, 71 nt
Filed under: Myotis davidii
Lineage: Eukaryota; Metazoa; Chordata; Mammalia; Chiroptera; Vespertilionidae
Rfam family: tRNA
About the family: Transfer RNA (tRNA) molecules are approximately 80 nucleotides in length. Their secondary structure includes four short double-helical elements and three loops (D, anti-codon, and T loops).
Source: Rfam by way of RNAcentral
GCCCUCAUGGCUCAGUGGUUGAGUGUUGCCCUAUGAAGCAGGAGAUCCUGGUUCGACUCCAGGUCAGGCCA